This 401-nucleotide unclassified non-coding RNA is filed under the name soil metagenome. RNAcentral describes it as "partial contains 5.8S ribosomal RNA, internal transcribed spacer 2, and large subunit ribosomal RNA". The stretch from base 1 to 121 matches the Rfam family "5.8S ribosomal RNA", at positions 35 to 154 of the family's 154-position model. The record is from RNAcentral.
GAUGAAGAACGUAGCGAAAUGCGAUAAGUAAUGUGAAUUGCAGAAUUCAGUGAAUCAUCGAAUCUUUGAACGCACCUUGCGCCCCUUGGUUAUUCCAAAGGGCAUGCCUGUUUGAGUAUCAUGAACACCUCAACUCUUGUGGUUUCCCACAAUGAGCUUGGACUGUGGAGGUUUUGUUGACCCUGUGGUCAGCUCCUCUCAAAUGGAUCAGCUUACCGGUGUUUGGUGGCAUUACGGGUGUGAUAACUAUCUACGCUCGUGGUCGUCUCCAAAUAACCUCCAGUGAUGGAGGUUCGCUGGAGCUUAUAAAUGUCUCUCCCCAGUGAAGACAGCCUUUGAACGUUCGAUCUCAAAUCAGGUAGGACUACCCGCUGAACUUAAGCAUAUCAAUAAGCGGAGGA